Molecule: long non-coding RNA, 391 nt
Organism: Cervus elaphus (red deer)
Lineage: Eukaryota; Metazoa; Chordata; Mammalia; Artiodactyla; Cervidae
Exons: 3
Source: RefSeq, a predicted model, not a curated record
CCCGGACACAUUAUUUUCUCCAAGGAAUUUCUUCUUUUCAUUAUUUCCCUCCAAAGGAAUGUGGGAGCUGCUGGGUGAAGGCAGUUUUGGCUCAGGAUUGCUCUUGCUGGUUGCAGUCAGAUGUUUGGGGCUGUCAUCUCUGAAGUAUGCCCGGGACAGCGAAGUCUAAUUCCAAGAUGGCUCAUUCACGCUGGUCGGGGCAGAGCAGCACACACUCAACAAGUGAAGCCAGUCAAAACACUCCCUCCUGACGAAGCCAGUGGAAUCAGUGUGUUUGUAAAACUGACGGCGUUUUUGUUGACAGGCAAAUGUCUAUAUCACAUGGCAACAAAUGGCUGGAAGAUGCAAAAACGCAGUCAAUCAUCAGAGAUUUUUUUUUACCUCUUCUUUA